GCGAGAGUAGCUCAGUUGGUAGAGCUCUAGCCUUCCAAGCUUGCGGUCGCGGGUUCAAGUCCCGUCUCUCGCUCCA
This 76-nucleotide transfer RNA is filed under the name Candidatus Sumerlaeota bacterium. Its description in RNAcentral is "tRNA-Gly". It matches the Rfam family "tRNA". From Rfam's summary of the family: Transfer RNA (tRNA) molecules are approximately 80 nucleotides in length. Their secondary structure includes four short double-helical elements and three loops (D, anti-codon, and T loops). RNAcentral also lists the same sequence under 1 other name. The record is from RNAcentral. Lineage: Bacteria; Candidatus Sumerlaeota.